RNAcentral lists this ribosomal RNA (585 nucleotides) under uncultured bacterium. RNAcentral describes it as "partial 16S ribosomal RNA". It matches the Rfam family "Bacterial small subunit ribosomal RNA", at positions 355 to 1375 of the family's 1533-position model. The record is from RNAcentral.
UGGGGAAUUUUGGACAAUGGGCGAAAGCCUGAUCCAGCAAUGCCGCGUGUGUGAAGAAGGCCUUCGGGUUGUAAAGCACUUUUGUCCGGAAAGAAAUCCUUGGCUCUAAUACAGUCGGGGGAUGACGGUACCGGAAGAAUAAGCACCGGCUAACUACGUGCCAGCAGCCGCGGUAAUACGUAGGGUGCAAGCGUUAAUCGGAAUUACUGGGCGUAAAGCGUGCGCAGGCGGUUUGCUAAGACCGAUGUGAAAUCCCCGGGCUCAACCUGGGAACUGCAUUGGUGACUGGCAGGCUAGAGUAUGGCAGAGGGGGGUAGAAUUCCACGUGUAGCAGUGAAAUGCGUGGAGAUGUGGAGGAAUACCGAUGGCGAAGGCAGCCCCCUGGGCCAAUACUGACGCUCAUGCACGAAAGCGUGGGGAGCAAACAGGAUUAGAUACCCUGGUAGUCCACGCCCUAAACGAUGUCAACUAGUUGUUGGGGAUUCAUUUCCUUAGUAACGUAGCUAACGCGUGAAGUUGACCGCCUGGGGAGUACGGUCGCAAGAUUAAAACUCAAAUGAAUUGACGGGGUCAUAGCUGUUUCCU